RNAcentral lists this ribosomal RNA (586 nucleotides) under uncultured bacterium. Its description in RNAcentral is "bacterial SSU rRNA". It matches the Rfam family "Bacterial small subunit ribosomal RNA", at positions 51 to 635 of the family's 1533-position model. The record is from RNAcentral.
ACACAUGCAAGUCGAACGAAACACCUUAUCUGAUUUUCUUCGGAACUGAAGAUUUGGUGAUUGAGUGGCGGACGGGUGAGUAACGCGUGGGUAACCUGCCCUGUACAGGGGGAUAACAGUCAGAAAUGACUGCUAAUACCGCAUAAGACCACAGCACCGCAUGGUGCAGGGGUAAAAACUCCGGUGGUACAGGAUGGACCCGCGUCUGAUUAGCUGGUUGGUGAGGUAACGGCUCACCAAGGCGACGAUCAGUAGCCGGCUUGAGAGAGUGAACGGCCACAUUGGGACUGAGACACGGCCCAAACUCCUACGGGAGGCAGCAGUGGGGAAUAUUGCACAAUGGGGGAAACCCUGAUGCAGCGACGCCGCGUGAGUGAAGAAGUAUUUCGGUAUGUAAAGCUCUAUCAGCAGGGAAGAAAAUGACGGUACCUGACUAAGAAGCCCCGGCUAACUACGUGCCAGCAGCCGCGGUAAUACGUAGGGGGCAAGCGUUAUCCGGAAUUACUGGGUGUAAAGGGUGCGUAGGUGGUAUGGCAAGUCAGAAGUGAAAACCCAGGGCUUAACUCUGGGACUGCUUUUGAAACUG